UGCACGGUGGAGCAGUUUGUAGCACUGUUCCCUUGCAGCAGGAAGGUCCUGGGUUCGAUUCCCAGCCGGGGGUCUUUCUGCAU
Non-coding RNA from Crenichthys baileyi (White River springfish), 83 nucleotides. Lineage: Eukaryota; Metazoa; Chordata; Actinopteri; Cyprinodontiformes; Goodeidae. The record is from the annotation of a GenBank genome assembly.